GCUGGGUGUGAUGGUGCUCACCUGUAGUCCCAGUUACUCAGGAGGCUGAGAUGGGAGGAUUGCUUAGCCCAGGAGGCUGGGGCUGCAGUGAGCCAUGACUGGGCCGUUGUACUCCUGCCUGGGCAACAAAGCAAGACCCUAUCUCAA
Molecule: unclassified non-coding RNA, 147 nt
Organism: Macaca fascicularis (crab-eating macaque)
Lineage: Eukaryota; Metazoa; Chordata; Mammalia; Primates; Cercopithecidae
Rfam family: Metazoan signal recognition particle RNA
About the family: The signal recognition particle (SRP) is a universally conserved ribonucleoprotein. It is involved in the co-translational targeting of proteins to membranes.
Source: Ensembl